GAUGAAGAACGGAGCGAAAUGCGAUAAGUAAUGUGAAUUGCAGAAUUCAGUGAAUCAUCGAAUCUUUGAACGCACAUUGCGCCCGCCAGUAUUCUGGCGGGCAUGCCUGUCUGAGCGUCAUUUCAACCCUCAUGCCCCUAGGACGUGGUGUUGGGGAUCGGCCAAAGCCCGCGAGGGACGGCCGGCCCCUAAAUCUAGUGGCGGACCCGUCGUGGCCUCCUCUGCGAAGUAGUGAUAUUCCGCAUCGGAGAGCGACGAGCCCCUGCCGUUAAACCCCCAACUUUCCAAGGUUGACCUCAGAUCAGGUAGGAAUACCCGCUGAACUUAAGCAUAUCAAUAAGCGGAGG
RNAcentral lists this unclassified non-coding RNA (347 nucleotides) under soil metagenome. RNAcentral describes it as "partial contains 5.8S ribosomal RNA, internal transcribed spacer 2, and large subunit ribosomal RNA". The stretch from base 1 to 120 matches the Rfam family "5.8S ribosomal RNA", at positions 35 to 154 of the family's 154-position model. The record is from RNAcentral.